RNAcentral lists this transfer RNA (73 nucleotides) under Halotia branconii CENA390. Its description in RNAcentral is "tRNA-Ala". It matches the Rfam family "tRNA". Rfam says of the family: Transfer RNA (tRNA) molecules are approximately 80 nucleotides in length. Their secondary structure includes four short double-helical elements and three loops (D, anti-codon, and T loops). The record is from RNAcentral. Lineage: Bacteria; Bacillati; Cyanobacteriota; Cyanophyceae; Nostocales; Nodulariaceae.
GGGGGUUUAGCUCAGUUGGUAGAGCGCCUGCAUUGCAAGCAGGAUGUCAGCGGUUCGAGUCCGCUAAUCUCCA